This 468-nucleotide ribosomal RNA is filed under the name uncultured bacterium. RNAcentral describes it as "partial 16S ribosomal RNA". It matches the Rfam family "Bacterial small subunit ribosomal RNA", at positions 28 to 507 of the family's 1533-position model. The record is from RNAcentral.
GACGAACGCUGGCGGCGUGCUUAACACAUGCCAGUCGAACGGAAAGGCCCUGCUUUUGUGGGGUGCUCGAGUGGCGAACGGGUGAGUAACACGUGAGUAACCUGCCCUUGACUUUGGGAUAACUUCAGGAAACUGGGGCUAAUACCGGAUAGGAGCUCCUGCUGCAUGGUGGGGGUUGGAAAGUUUCGGCGGUUGGGGAUGGACUCGCGGCUUAUCAGCUUGUUGGUGGGGUAGUGGCUUACCAAGGCUUUGACGGGUAGCCGGCCUGAGAGGGUGACCGGCCACAUUGGGACUGAGAUACGGCCCAGAAUCCUACGGGAGGCAGCAGUGGGGAAUAUUGCACAAUGGGCGGAAGCCUGAGGCAGCAACGACGCGUGCGGGAUGACGGCCUUCGGGGUGUAAACCGCUUUCGCCUGUGACGAAGCGUGAGUGACGGUAAUGGGUAAAGAAGCACCGGCUAACUACGUG